UGCCUUUUGCAAAAUAUAAAAGGCAAAAUCUGCUCAAUGAAUAAAAAACUUUAAAUAGCCGCAGUAUCCUGACUGUGCUAAGGUAGCAUAAUCAUUUGCUUCUUAAUUGGAAGCUAGAAUGAACGAAUAAACGGGAAAAAGCUUUUUUCUUACUAUCUAAAAAAAUUAGUCUUCAAGUGAAAAUACUUGAAUAAAAUAAAAAGACAAGAAGACCCUGUCGCACUUCAAUGUUUUACGAAAAUAUUUUAGUAAAACAUUUUUAUUGGGGCAAUAAAUAACUAUUUUAAUCGUUAAUUUUAAAUUAAGAAAUAUAAUUCAAUUGAAUAACAAAAUUCUUUAUUAAAAGAAAGUAACCGCAGGGAUAACAGGUUAAUUUGCUUUGAGAGCCCAAAUUAACAAGCAAGAUUAAUACCUCGAUGUUGGCUUAAAAAUUCAUUAUGGUGCAGCCGCUAUAAAUGAUAGUUUGUUCAAC
This 472-nucleotide ribosomal RNA is filed under the name Aeolosoma sp. GG-2011. RNAcentral describes it as "partial 16S ribosomal RNA". It matches the Rfam family "Archaeal large subunit ribosomal RNA", at positions 1921 to 2654 of the family's 2987-position model. Lineage: Eukaryota; Metazoa; Annelida; Clitellata; Crassiclitellata; Aeolosomatidae. The record is from RNAcentral.